Molecule: ribosomal RNA, 711 nt
Filed under: Vreelandella aquamarina
Lineage: Bacteria; Pseudomonadati; Pseudomonadota; Gammaproteobacteria; Oceanospirillales; Halomonadaceae
Description: bacterial SSU rRNA
Rfam family: Bacterial small subunit ribosomal RNA
Source: RNAcentral
UGAGUAAUGCAUAUGAAUCUGCCCGAUAGUGGGGGAUAACCUGGGGAAACCCAGGCUAAUACCGCAUACGUCCUACGGGAGAAAGGGGGCUCCGGCUCCCGCUAUGGGAUGAGCCUAUGUCGGAUUAGCUAGUUGGUGAGGUAACGGCUCACCAAGGCCACGAUCCGUAGCUGGUCUGAGAGGAUGAUCAGCCGCAUCGGGACUGAGACACGGCCCGAACUCCUACGGGAGGCAGCAGUGGGGAAUAUUGGACAAUGGGGGAAACCCUGAUCCAACCAUGCCGCGUGUGUGAAGAAGGCCCUCGGGUUGUAAAGCACUUUCAGCGAGGAAGAACGCCUGGCGGUUAAUACCCGCUAGGAGAGACAUCACUCGCACAAGAAGCACCGGCUAACUCCGUGCCAGCAGCCGCGGUAAUACGGAUGGUGCAAGCGUUAAUCGGAAUUACUGGGCGUAAAGCGCGCGUAGGUGGCUUGAUAAGCCGGUUGUGAAAGCCCCGGGCUCAACCUGGGAACGGCAUCCGGAACUGUCAAGCUAGAGUGCAGAGAGAGGAAGGUAGAAUUCCCGGUGUAGCGGUGAAAUGCGUAGAGAUCGGGAGGAAUACCAGUGGCGAAGGCGGCCUUCUGGACUGACACUGACACUGAGGUGCGAAAGCGUGGGUAGCAGACAGGAUUAGAUACCCUGGUAGUCCACGCCGUAAACGAUGUCGACCAG